AAGAGACAGCAGUCGCCGCGGUAACACGAAGGGUGCAAGCGUUAAUCGGAAUUACUGGGCAUAAAGCGUGCGUAGGCGGUGAGUUAAGUCUGCUGUGAAAUCCCCGGGCUCAACCUGGGAAUGGCAGUGGAUACUGGCUCGCUAGAGUGUGUCAGAGGAUGGUGGAAUUCCCGGUGUAGCGGUGAAAUGCGCAGAGAUCGGGAGGAACAUCAGUGGCGAAGGCGGCCAUCUGGGACAACACUGACGCUGAGGCACGAAAGCGUGGGGAGCAAACAGGAUUAGAUACCCCUGUAGUCCCUGUCUCUUAUAC
This 310-nucleotide ribosomal RNA is filed under the name uncultured bacterium. RNAcentral describes it as "partial 16S ribosomal RNA". It matches the Rfam family "Bacterial small subunit ribosomal RNA", at positions 503 to 807 of the family's 1533-position model. The record is from RNAcentral.